This 409-nucleotide ribosomal RNA is filed under the name bacterium enrichment culture clone Pav-FEB-Bd7-C1. Its description in RNAcentral is "bacterial SSU rRNA". It matches the Rfam family "Bacterial small subunit ribosomal RNA", at positions 120 to 524 of the family's 1533-position model. The record is from RNAcentral.
GGGAAACUGCCUGAUGGAGGGGGAUAACUACUGGAAACGGUAGCUAAUACCGCAUGACCUCGCAAGAGCAAAGUGGGGGACCUUCGGGCCUCACGCCAUCGGAUGUGCCCAGAUGGGAUUAGCUAGUAGGUGGGGUAAUGGCUCACCUAGGCGACGAUCCCUAGCUGGUCUGAGAGGAUGACCAGCCGCACUGGAACUGAGACACGGUCCAGACUCCUACGGGAGGCAGCAGUGGGGAAUAUUGCACAAUGGGCGCAAGCCUGAUGCAGCCAUGCCGCGUGUGUGAAGAAGGCCUUCGGGUUGUAAAGCACUUUCAGCGAGGAGGAAGGGUAUCGUGUUAAUAGGACGGUACAUUGACGUUACUCGCAGAAGAAGCACCGGCUAACUCCGUGCCAGCAGCCGCGGUAAU